This 335-nucleotide unclassified non-coding RNA is filed under the name soil metagenome. Its description in RNAcentral is "partial contains 5.8S ribosomal RNA, internal transcribed spacer 2, and large subunit ribosomal RNA". The stretch from base 1 to 120 matches the Rfam family "5.8S ribosomal RNA", at positions 35 to 154 of the family's 154-position model. The record is from RNAcentral.
GAUGAAGAACGUAGUGAAAUGCGAUAACUAGUGUGAAUUGCAGAAUUCAGUGAAUCAUCGAAUCUUUGAACGCACAUUGCGCCCCUUGGUACUCCAUGGGGCAUGCCUGUUCGAGCGUCAUUUACACCCUCAAGCUCUGCUUGGUGUUGGGCGUCUGUCCCGCUUCGUGCGCGGACUCGCCUCAAAUGCAUUGGCAGCGGUCUUGCCAGCUUCUCGCGCAGCACAUUGCGCUUCUAGAGGCUUUGGCGGAUCGGCGUCCAUCAAGUACACCCACAGUUUGACCUCGGAUCAGGUAGGGAUACCCGCUGAACUUAAGCAUAUCAAUAAGCGGAGGA